Molecule: ribosomal RNA, 2256 nt
Filed under: human oral metagenome
Description: bacterial LSU rRNA
Rfam family: Bacterial large subunit ribosomal RNA
Source: RNAcentral
GUUCGUUUUUAUGAGCGUUCGGUGGAUGCCUUGGCAUCGGGGGCCGAUGAAGGACGCGGUGGCCUGCGAUAUUCCUCGGGGAGCCGGCUUGCGGGCUGUGAUCCGAGGGUUUCCGAAUGGGGGGACCCGGCGCCCGUUGUGGGGCGUCACCCGCGUCUGAAUGUCAUAGGGCGCGGGGGGUGACGCGGGGAAGUGAAACAUCUCAGUACCCGCAGGAGUGGAUAUUCCGUGAGUAGUGGCGAGCGGAAGCGGAUGAUGGUUAAACCGUGCGCGUGCGAUCACCCGGCGGGGGUUGCGCGCGCGGUGUUGUUGGGGCGCGUUCUUCCCGUCGCCGCCGCGGCGGGGCGCAGUGCAUUGAACCGGUCGGGUAGCCGAAUCCCCUGGGAUGGGGGGCCGCAGCGGGUGACAGCCCCGUAGGCGGAACCCGGCGGGCUGCGCGGGCGCGGCCCCCAGUAGCACGGGGCCCGUGGAAUCCUGUGUGAAUCUGCCGAGACCACUCGGCCGCCUGAAUACCUCCCGAUGACCGAUAGCGGACGAGUACCGUGAGGGAAUGGUGAAAAGUACCCCGGGAGGGGAGUGAAACAGUACCUGAAACCGGGCGCUCACGAGCCGUCAGAGCCUCCUUGUGCGCAUCCUCGGGCCGUGUGUCCGGGGGGCGGGGGGUGAUGGCGUGCCUAUUGAAGAAUGAGCCUGCGAGUCGCCGCCGCGUCGCGAGGUUAACCCGUGUGGGGGAGCCGUAGCGACAGCGAGUCCGAAUGGGGCGCCCAGUGGCGCGGCGCGGACCCGAAGCGGGGUGAUCUACCCAUGGCCAGGUUGAAGCACGUGUAAGAGCGUGUGGAGGACCGCACCCGCCUCAGUUGAAAAUGGGGGGGAUGAGCUGUGGGUAGGGGUGAAAGGCCAAUCAAACCCCGUGAUAGCUGGUUCUCCCCGAAAUGCAUUUGGGUGCAGCGUCCCGUGCUCCCCGGCGGAGGUAGAGCUACCGGUUGGCUGAUGGGCCCCACAGGGUUACUGGCGUCAGCCGAACUCCGAAUGCCGUCGGGCGGUGAGCGGGGCAGUGAGACCGCGGGGGAUAAGCUUCGCGGUCGAGAGGGGAACAGCCCGGAUCGCCGGCUAAGGCCCCCAAGCGCGCGCUAAGUGGGAAAGGAUGUGCGGUCGCGGUGACAACCAGGAGGUUGGCUCAGAAGCAGCCAUCCUUGAAAGAGUGCGUAAUAGCUCACUGGUCAAGUGGUCGUGCGCCGACAAUUGAGCGGGGCUCAAGCGCGCCGCCGAAGCCGCGGAUCCGCCGCGAUGGGUUCUGCCGCCCCCUGUGGGGGGGUGGUGGGGCGCGGCGGGUGGUAGGGGAGCGUCCCGCGCGGGGUGAAGCCGUCGGGUGACCGGGGGUGGACGGCGCGGGAGUGAGAAUGCAGGCAUGAGUAGCGAUACUGGGGUGGGAGUCCCCAGCGCCGUAUGACCAAGGGUUCCAGGGCCAGGCUGGUCCGCCCUGGGUGAGUCGGGACCUAAGGCGAGGCCGACGGGCGUAGUCGAUGGAUGACGGGUUGAUAUUCCCGUACCGGACCGGAUACCGACCGUGCCGACGCGCGGGUGCUGACCCACGCCCCGCGCCGCCCGUGUACGCCCCCGCGUCCCGGUCUUCGGGCCGGGCGGGGGCGGGGCGGCGGGGGUCUGGGGACCCUCCGCGCAGGUAGGCAAGCGUAUUAACAGGGGUGACGCGCAGUGGUGGCCCCGCGGGUCUGAUGGCUCGGCCCGUUCAAGCGCGCGGCCCGCCGCCCAGGCAAAUCCGGGCGGCUGCCUUGAAUGGCGGGGGUGAGGCGCGAUGGUGACCCGGCCCGGUGGGGCCGGGGAAGUAGGGUGAUCCUGUGGCGCCGAGAAAAGCCUCGACGCGAGGGGCCGGUCCGCCCGUACCCCAAACCGACACAGGUGGUCGGGCAGAGCAUGCCCAGGCGCACGGGCGAACCGUGGUGAAGGAACUCGGCAAAACGCCCCCGUAACUUCGGGAGAAGGGGGGCCCGAACCCUGAAACGGCUGGCCCGUUGGGGGUGAGGGUCGCAGAGGCCAGGGGGGAGCGACUGUUUACUAAAAACACAGGUCCGUGCGAAGCCGCAAGGCGAUGUAUACGGACUGACGCCUGCCCGGUGCUGGAAGGUCAAGAGGACCCGUCAGCCCCCCUUGCGGGGGUGAAGCGGUGAAUUCAAGCCCCAGUGAACGGCGGUGGUAACUAUAACCAUCCUAAGGUAGCGAAAUUCCUUGUCGGGUAAG